GACGAACGCUGGCGGCGCGCCUAACACAUGCGAGUCGAACGAGCGAGAGAGAGCUUGCUUUCUCGAGCGAGUGGCGAACGGGUGAGUAACGCGUGAGGAACCUGCCUCAAAGAGGGGGACAACAGUUGGAAACGACUGCUAAUACCGCAUAAGCCCACGGUGCCGCAUGGCACAGAGGGAAAAGGAGCAAUCCGCUUUGAGAUGGCCUCGCGUCCGAUUAGCUAGUUGGUGAGGUAAUGGCCCACCAAGGCGACGAUCGGUAGCCGGACUGAGAGGUUGAACGGCCACAUUGGGACUGAGACACGGCCCAGACUCCUACGGGAGGCAGCAGUGGGGAAUAUUGCACAAUGGGGGAAACCCUGAUGCAGCGACGCCGCGUGGAGGAAGAAGGUCUUCGGAUUGUAAACUCCUGUUGUUGGGGAAGAUAAUGACGGUACCCAACAAGGAAGUGACGGCUAACUACGUG
Molecule: ribosomal RNA, 466 nt
Filed under: uncultured bacterium
Lineage: Bacteria
Description: partial 16S ribosomal RNA
Rfam family: Bacterial small subunit ribosomal RNA
Source: RNAcentral